RNAcentral lists this ribosomal RNA (253 nucleotides) under uncultured bacterium. RNAcentral's name for it is "partial 16S ribosomal RNA". It matches the Rfam family "Bacterial small subunit ribosomal RNA", at positions 524 to 776 of the family's 1533-position model. The record is from RNAcentral.
UACGAGGGGUGCAAGCGUUGCUCGGAAUUAUUGGGCGUAAAGGGUAGGUAGGUGGUCUUAUUUGUCUUAUGUGAAAGCCUUGGGCUUAACCCAAGAAGUGCGUAAGAAACGGUAAGACUAGAGUCCUGGAGAGGGUCGUGGAAUUCCCGGUGUAGCGGUGAAAUGCGCAGAUAUCAGGAGGAACACCGGUGGCGAAGGCGGGUCUCUGGGCCGAUACUGACGCUGAGGAGCGAAAGCGUGGGGAGCGAACAGG